This 354-nucleotide unclassified non-coding RNA is filed under the name Hevea brasiliensis (rubber tree). Lineage: Eukaryota; Viridiplantae; Streptophyta; Magnoliopsida; Malpighiales; Euphorbiaceae. The record is from RNAcentral.
CGUGUAUGAUGCUGCAUUCAUAGUGGUGUUGAGUUUGUGGCAACUAACAAUGAGUUUCGGCGAGUUUCUGUAGCUUAUUUCUACAAUCUCAUGAAUCUAUUCUUAUUGUGCAGACUACAACUUGCAUAGCUUUGUAAUGUUUCUUAACCACAGAAAUCAUAUCCAACAGCAAAAUUUGUUCAAUUUUCAUUCUUUCGAUUCAGAUAUACCUAGUAUGAUGAUCACUGAAUUCUGAAUGUGCCACUCUGCAGGUACAAGGUUGGAGACAUGGGUGUCUAGCAAGCAGAACCUCGUUUGGGGCCCAAGAAGCAUAGAAGACAUCUCACAAAAGGAUCAACCAAUCAACACUGGACA